This is a ribosomal RNA of Capsicum annuum, 121 nucleotides long. Lineage: Eukaryota; Viridiplantae; Streptophyta; Magnoliopsida; Solanales; Solanaceae. The record is from RefSeq and is a predicted model, not a curated record.
GGAUGCGAUCAUACCAGCACUAACACAUCGAAUCCCGUCAGAACUCCGAAGUUAAGCAUGCUUGGGCGAGAGAGUAGUACUAGGAUGGGUGACCGCCUGGGAAGUCCUCGAAUUGCAUCCC